This 468-nucleotide ribosomal RNA is filed under the name uncultured bacterium. RNAcentral's name for it is "partial 16S ribosomal RNA". It matches the Rfam family "Bacterial small subunit ribosomal RNA", at positions 28 to 507 of the family's 1533-position model. The record is from RNAcentral.
GACGAACGCUGGCGGCGUGCUUAAUACAUGCAAGUCGAACGGACAGGCCCUGCUUUUGUGGGGUGCUCGAGUGGCGAACGGGUGAGUAACACGUGAGUAACCUGUCCUUGACUGUGGGGUAUCUUUAGGAAACUGGGGCUAAUACCGGAUAUGAUCUCCUGCUGCAUGGUGGGGGUUGGAAAGUUUCGGCGGUUGGGGAUGGACUCGCGGCUUAUCAGCUGGUUGGUGGAGUAGUGGCUUACAAAGGCUUUGACGGGUAGCCGGCCUGAGAGCGUGACCGGCCACAAUGGGACUGAGAGACGGACCAGUAUCGUACGGGAGGCAGCAGUGGGGAAUAUGGCACAAUGAGCGGAAGCCUGAUGCAGAGACGCCGCGUGCGGGAUACCGGCCUUCGGGUUGUAAACCGAUUUCGCAUGUAACGAAGCGUGAGUGACGGUAAUGGGUAAAGAAGCACCGGCUAACUACGUG